GGCCCGUUGGUCAAGCGGUUAAGACACCGCCCUUUCACGGCGGUAACACGGGUUCGAAUCCCGUACGGGUCU
This 72-nucleotide transfer RNA is filed under the name Listeria monocytogenes. Its description in RNAcentral is "tRNA-Glu". It matches the Rfam family "tRNA". From Rfam's summary of the family: Transfer RNA (tRNA) molecules are approximately 80 nucleotides in length. Their secondary structure includes four short double-helical elements and three loops (D, anti-codon, and T loops). The record is from RNAcentral. Lineage: Bacteria; Bacillati; Bacillota; Bacilli; Caryophanales; Listeriaceae. RNAcentral also lists the same sequence under 1 other name.